UGGGGAAUAUUGCACAAUGGGCGCAAGCCUGAUGCAGCCAUGCCGCGUGUGUGAAGAAGGCCUUCGGGUUGUAAAGCACUUUCAGCGAGGAGGAAGGUGGUGAGCUUAAUACGCUCAUCAAUUGACGUUACUCGCAGAAGAAGCACCGGCUAACUCCGUGCCAGCAGCCGCGGUAAUACGGAGGGUGCAAGCGUUAAUCGGAAUUACUGGGCGUAAAGCGCACGCAGGCGGUUUGUUAAGUCAGAUGUGAAAUCCCCGGGCUCAACCUGGGAACUGCAUUUGAAACUGGCAAGCUAGAGUCUCGUAGAGGGGGGUAGAAUUCCAGGUGUAGCGGUGAAAUGCGUAGAGAUCUGGAGGAAUACCGGUGGCGAAGGCGGCCCCCUGGACGAAGACUGACGCUCAGGUGCGAAAGCGUGGGGAGCAAAACAGGAUUAGAUACCCUGGUAGUCCACGCUGUAAAACGAUGUCGAUUUUGGAGGUUGUGCCCUUGAGGCGUGGCUUCCGGAGCUAACGCGUUAAAUCGACCGCCUGGGGAGUACGGCCGCAAGGUUAAAACUUAAAUGAAUUG
Molecule: ribosomal RNA, 568 nt
Filed under: uncultured bacterium
Lineage: Bacteria
Description: partial 16S ribosomal RNA
Rfam family: Bacterial small subunit ribosomal RNA
Source: RNAcentral